UCUGGGACAAGCCCUGGAAACGGGGUCUAAUACCGGAUAAUACCUUCUCCUGCAUGGGAGGGGGUUGAAAGCUCCGGCGGUGAAGGAUGAGCCCGCGGCCUAUCAGCUUGUUGGUGGGGUGAUGGCCUACCAAGGCGACGACGGGUAGCCGGCCUGAGAGGGCGACCGGCCACACUGGGACUGAGACACGGCCCAGACUCCUACGGGAGGCAGCAGUGGGGAAUAUUGCACAAUGGGCGAAAGCCUGAUGCAGCGACGCCGCGUGAGGGAUGACGGCCUUCGGGUUGUAAACCUCUUUCAGCAGGGAAGAAGCGCAAGUGACGGUACCUGCAGAAGAAGCACCGGCUAACUACGUGCCAGCAGCCGCGGUAAUACGUAGGGUGCGAGCGUUGUCCGGAAUUAUUGGGCGUAAAGAGCUCGUAGGCGGCUUGUCACGUCGGUUGUGAAAGCCCGGGGCUUAACCCCGGGUCUGCAGUCGAUACGGGCAGGCUAGAGUGUGGUAGGGGAGAUCGGAAUUCCUGGUGUAGCGGUGAAAUGCGCAGAUAUCAGGAGGAACACCGGUGGCGAAGGCGGAUCUCUGGGCCAUUACUGACGCUGAGGAGCGAAAGCGUGGGGAGCGAACAGGAUUAGAUACCCUGGUAGUCCACGCCGUAAACGUUGGGAACUAGGUGUUGGCGACAUUCCACGUCGUCGGUGCCGCAGCUAACGCAUUAAGUUCCCCGCCUGG
RNAcentral lists this ribosomal RNA (727 nucleotides) under Streptomyces sp. RNAcentral describes it as "bacterial SSU rRNA". It matches the Rfam family "Bacterial small subunit ribosomal RNA", at positions 137 to 876 of the family's 1533-position model. The record is from RNAcentral. Lineage: Bacteria; Bacillati; Actinomycetota; Actinomycetes; Kitasatosporales; Streptomycetaceae.